This 253-nucleotide ribosomal RNA is filed under the name uncultured bacterium. Its description in RNAcentral is "partial 16S ribosomal RNA". It matches the Rfam family "Bacterial small subunit ribosomal RNA", at positions 524 to 776 of the family's 1533-position model. The record is from RNAcentral.
UACAGAGGGGGCCAGCGUUAUUCGGAAUUAUUGGGCGUAAAGGGCGCGUAGGCGGCCAUGCGUGUCUUCCGUGAAAUCCCUCGGCUUAACCGAGGACGUGCGGAAGAAACUGCAAGGCUCGAGUCCGGAAGAGGGGGGCGGAAUUCCCAGUGUAGCGGUGAAGUGCGUAGAUAUUGGGAGGAACACCAGUGGCGAAGGCGGUCCCCUGGGCCGGAACUGACGCUGAGGCGCGAAAGCGUGGGUAGCAAACGGG